RNAcentral lists this ribosomal RNA (1212 nucleotides) under Triticum aestivum (bread wheat). Its description in RNAcentral is "partial small subunit ribosomal RNA". Lineage: Eukaryota; Viridiplantae; Streptophyta; Magnoliopsida; Poales; Poaceae. The record is from RNAcentral.
AUGGCACGGGUCCUCCUCCUCUUGCUGGCCGCCUCGCUCGUUGCGCUGGCGUCGUCCAAAGGUCUUCCGGUGCUCGCUCCGGUCACCAAGGACACCGCCACUUCCCUCUACACAAUCCCCUUCCACGACGGCGCCAGCCUCGUCCUCGACGUCGCCGGCCCGCUCGUCUGGUCCACGUGCGACGGCGGCCAGCCGCCGGCGGAGAUCCCGUGCAGCAGCCCCACCUGCCUCCUCGCCAACGCCUACCCCGCCCCGGGCUGCCCCGCGCCCAGCUGCGGCAGCGACAAGCACGACAAGCCGUGCACGGCGUACCCGUACAACCCGGUCACCGGCGCGUGCGCCGCCGGGAGCCUCUUCCACACCAGGUUCGCAGCCAACACCACCGACGGGAGCAAGCCGGUGAGCAAGGUGAAUGUCGGGGUCCUGGCGGCGUGCCCGCCGAGCAAGCUGCUGGCGUCGCUGCCCCGGGGCUCCACGGGCGUUGCCGGGCUCGCGGACUCCGGCCUGGCGCUGCCGGCGCAGGUGGCGUCUGCGCAGAAGGUCGCCAACAGGUUCCUCCUCUGCCUCCCCACCGGCGGCCCUGGCGUGGCCAUCUUUGGCGGCGGCCCGGUCCCGUGGCCGCAAUUCACGCAGUCGAUGCCGUACACGCCGCUCGUUACCAAGGGCGGCAGCCCCGCACACUACAUCUCGGCCAGGUUCAUCGAAGUGGGGGACACCCGCGUCCCCGUAUCGGAGGGCGCGCUCGCCACCGGCGGCGUGAUGCUCAGCACGAGGCUGCCCUACGCCGUGCUCCGCCGCGACGUGUACCGCCCGUUGGUGGACGCGUUCACCAAGGCCCUGGCGGCGCAGCAUGCCAACGGAGCGCCCGUGGCGCGCGCAGCGGAGCCUGUGGCGCCGUUCGGGGUGUGCUACGACACGAAGACGCUGGGCAACAACCUCGGCGGGUACUCGGUGCCCAACGUCCAGCUGGGGCUCGAUGGCGGGAGUGACACCUGGACGAUGACCGGGAAGAACUCGAUGGUGGACGUCAAGCCGGGGACGGCGUGCGUUGCGUUCGUGGAGAUGAAGGGGGUGGAGGCCGGCGACGGCAGGGCGCCGGCGGUGAUCCUCGGAGGGGCCCAGAUGGAGGACUUCGUGCUCGACUUCGACAUGGAGAAGAAGCGGCUCGGUUUUAGCAGGCUGCCGCACUUUACGGGCUGCGGCGGCCUGUAA